Molecule: ribosomal RNA, 489 nt
Filed under: Salmonella enterica subsp. enterica serovar Heidelberg
Lineage: Bacteria; Pseudomonadati; Pseudomonadota; Gammaproteobacteria; Enterobacterales; Enterobacteriaceae
Description: bacterial SSU rRNA
Rfam family: Bacterial small subunit ribosomal RNA
Source: RNAcentral
GAUUGAACGCUGGCGGCAGGCCUAACACAUGCAAGUCGAACGGUAACAGGAAGCAGCUUGCUGCUUYGCUGACGAGUGGCGGACGGGUGAGUAAUGUCUGGGAAACUGCCUGAUGGAGGGGGAUAACUACUGGAAACGGUGGCUAAUACCGCAUAACGUCGCAAGACCAAAGAGGGGGACCUUCGGGCCUCUUGCCAUCAGAUGUGCCCAGAUGGGAUUAGCUUGUUGGUGAGGUAACGGCUCACCAAGGCGACGAUCCCUAGCUGGUCUGAGAGGAUGACCAGCCACACUGGAACUGAGACACGGUCCAGACUCCUACGGGAGGCAGCAGUGGGGAAUAUUGCACAAUGGGCGCAAGCCUGAUGCAGCCAUGCCGCGUGUAUGAAGAAGGCCUUCGGGUUGUAAAGUACUUUCAGCGGGGAGGAAGGUGUUGYGGUUAAUAACCRCAGCAAUUGACGUUACCCGCAGAAGAAGCACCGGCUAACUCCG